GACAACAGUUGGAAACGACUGCUAAUACCGCAUAAGCCCACGACCCGGCAUCGGGAAGAGGGAAAAGGAGCAAUCCGCUUUGAGAUGGCCUCGCGUCCGAUUAGCUAGUUGGUGAGGUAACGGCCCACCAAGGCGACGAUCGGUAGCCGGACUGAGAGGUUGAACGGCCACAUUGGGACUGAGACACGGCCCAGACUCCUACGGGAGGCAGCAGUGGGGAAUAUUGCACAAUGGGGGAAACCCUGAUGCAGCGACGCCGCGUGGAGGAAGAAGGUCUUCGGAUUGUAAACUCCUGUUGUUGAGGAAGAUAAUGACGGUACUCAACAAGGAAGUGACGGCUAACUACGUGCCAGCAGCCGCGGUAAAACGUAGGUCACAAGCGUUGUCCGGAAUUACUGGGUGUAAAGGGAGCGCAGGCGGGCGAUCAAGUUGGAAGUGAAAUCCAUGGGCUCAACCCAUGAACUGCUUUCAAAACUGGUCGUCUUGAGUAGUGCAGAGGUAGGCGGAAUUCCCGGUGUAGCGGUGGAAUGCGUAGAUAUCGGGAGGAACACCAGUGGCGAAGGCGGCCUACUGGGCACCAACUGACGCUGAGGCUCGAAAGUGUGGGUAGCAAACAGGAUUAGAUACCCUGGUAGUCCACACCGUAAGCGAUGAUUACUAGGUGUUGGGAGAUUGACCCUCUCAGUGCCGCAGUUAACACAAUAAGU
RNAcentral lists this ribosomal RNA (707 nucleotides) under uncultured Bacillota bacterium. Its description in RNAcentral is "bacterial SSU rRNA". It matches the Rfam family "Bacterial small subunit ribosomal RNA", at positions 142 to 865 of the family's 1533-position model. The record is from RNAcentral. Lineage: Bacteria; Bacillati; Bacillota.